UACGAAGGGGGCUAGCGUUGUUCGGAAUUACUGGGCGUAAAGCGCACGUAGGCGGAUCGAUCAGUCAGGGGUGAAAUCCCAGGGCUCAACCCUGGAACUGCCUUUGAUACUGUCGAUCUGGAGUAUGGAAGAGGUGAGUGGAAUUCCGAGUGUAGAGGUGAAAUUUGUAGAUAUUCGGAGGAACACCAGUGGCGAAGGCGGCUCACUGGUCCAUUACUGACGCUGAGGUGCGAAAGCGUGGGGAGCAAACAGG
This 253-nucleotide ribosomal RNA is filed under the name uncultured bacterium. Its description in RNAcentral is "partial 16S ribosomal RNA". It matches the Rfam family "Bacterial small subunit ribosomal RNA", at positions 524 to 776 of the family's 1533-position model. The record is from RNAcentral.